This 119-nucleotide microRNA precursor is filed under the name Podarcis lilfordi (Lilford's wall lizard). Lineage: Eukaryota; Metazoa; Chordata; Lepidosauria; Squamata; Lacertidae. The record is from RNAcentral.
AACUAAGUUAGUUAUUGGUAUGAGCUUUCGUGUGCAUGCACACUUCUUCAGAUACAAAGAAGUAUCUGAAGAAGUGUACAUGCACAUGAAAGCUCAUACCAAUAACCAGCUUAGGUGGU